This 273-nucleotide ribosomal RNA is filed under the name uncultured Vibrio sp. Its description in RNAcentral is "partial 16S ribosomal RNA". It matches the Rfam family "Bacterial small subunit ribosomal RNA", at positions 524 to 796 of the family's 1533-position model. The record is from RNAcentral. Lineage: Bacteria; Pseudomonadati; Pseudomonadota; Gammaproteobacteria; Vibrionales; Vibrionaceae.
UACGGAGGGUGCGAGCGUUAAUCGGAAUUACUGGGCGUAAAGCGCAUGCAGGUGGUUCAUUAAGUCAGAUGUGAAAGCCCGGGGCUCAACCUCGGAACUGCAUUUGAAACUGGUGAACUAGAGUGCUGUAGAGGGGGGUAGAAUUUCAGGUGUAGCGGUGAAAUGCGUAGAGAUCUGAAGGAAUACCAGUGGCGAAGGCGGCCCCCUGGACAGACACUGACACUCAGAUGCGAAAGCGUGGGGAGCAAACAGGAUUAGAUACCCCUGUAGUCC